GAUGAACGCUGGCGGCGUGCCUAAUACAUGCAAGUCGAGCGAACAGACGAGGAGCUUGCUCCUCUGACGUUAGCGGCGGACGGGUGAGUAACACGUGGAUAACCUACCUAUAAGACUGGGAUAACUUCGGGAAACCGGAGCUAAUACCGGAUAAUAUAUUGAACCGCAUGGUUCAAUAGUGAAAGACGGUUUUGCUGUCACUUAUAGAUGGAUCCGCGCCGCAUUAGCUAGUUGGUAAGGUAACGGCUUACCAAGGCAACGAUGCGUAGCCGACCGGAGAGGGUGAUCGGCCACACUGGAACUGGGACACGGUCCAGACUCCUACGGGAGGCAGCAGUAGGGAAUCUUCCGCAAUGGGCGAAAGCCUGACGGAGCAACGCCGCGUGAGUGAUGAAGGUCUUCGGAUCGUAAAACUCUGUUAUUAGGGAAGAACAAAUGUGUAAGUAACUAUGCACGUCUUGACGGUACCUAAUCAGAAAGCCACGGCUAACUACGUG
Molecule: ribosomal RNA, 497 nt
Filed under: uncultured bacterium
Lineage: Bacteria
Description: partial 16S ribosomal RNA
Rfam family: Bacterial small subunit ribosomal RNA
Source: RNAcentral